UACGUAGGGGGCAAGCGUUGUCCGGAAUCAUUGGGCGUAAAGCGCGCGUAGGCGGCCUCGUAAGUCCGUUGUGAAAGUCAAAGGCUCAACCUUUGAAAGCCGAUGGAUACUGUGAGGCUAGAGUCCGGAAGAGGCGAGUGGAAUUCCUGGUGUAGCGGUGGAAUGCGCAGAUAUCAGGAGGAACACCAAUAGCGGAGGCAGCUCGCUGGGACGGUACUGACGCUAAGGCGCGAAAGCGUGGGGAGCGAACAGG
This 253-nucleotide ribosomal RNA is filed under the name uncultured bacterium. Its description in RNAcentral is "partial 16S ribosomal RNA". It matches the Rfam family "Bacterial small subunit ribosomal RNA", at positions 524 to 776 of the family's 1533-position model. The record is from RNAcentral.